This 234-nucleotide ribosomal RNA is filed under the name uncultured fungus. RNAcentral's name for it is "partial 18S ribosomal RNA". It matches the Rfam family "Eukaryotic small subunit ribosomal RNA", at positions 40 to 274 of the family's 1831-position model. Lineage: Eukaryota; Fungi. The record is from RNAcentral.
AAGAUUAAGCCAUGCAUGUCUAAGUAUAAACAUUUGUACUGUGAAACUGCGGACGGCUCAUUAAAUCAGUUAUAGUUUAUUUGAUAAUACCUUACUACUCGGAUAACCGUAGUAAUUCUAGAGCUAAUACGUGCUAAAAAACCCGACUUUACGGAAGGGUUGUAUUUAUUAGAUAAAAACCAAUGCGGUCUCGGCCGGUUAUUUGGUGAUUCAUAAUAACUUUGCGAAUCGUAU